GCAGUCGUGGCCGAGUGGUUAGGGCAAUGGACUAGAAAUCCAUUGGGGUCUCCCCGCACAGGUUCGAAUCCUGUCGACUGCG
This is a non-coding RNA of Ixodes scapularis (black-legged tick), 82 nucleotides long. The record is from Rfam. NCBI's taxonomy places the organism in Eukaryota, Metazoa, Arthropoda, Arachnida, Ixodida, Ixodidae.